RNAcentral lists this non-coding RNA (764 nucleotides) under Mirhipipteryx andensis. Lineage: Eukaryota; Metazoa; Arthropoda; Insecta; Orthoptera; Ripipterygidae. The record is from RNAcentral.
UAAAGUUUUAUUCUUGCUUGUGGUAAUCUUUAAUAAAAGAUAUAUGUGAGUUUAGCUUGCAAUUAAGUUAAAAACUUAUUGUUUAAUUUGCAGUAUAAAAUCUUAUUAAUUAAGGAGUCUUAGAUAUAGUUAUUAUUAUAAGGCUGGCUAAUUUCGUGCCAGCAGCUGCGGUUAUACGAUUGGUCUAAGAUUACUUUAUUGGGAAUAGUUAAUUAUUAGAUUAUUUUAAAGAGUAAUUAUAUUAAGGUGAAAUUGAUAUAUUAUUAUGAAUUAUAAGUUAAAUGAGACUAAUAAAUUUAUGYAUAAAACUAGGAUUAGAUACCCUAUUAUUAUAAAUAUAAGUUAAAAGACUGGAGUAGUAAUUGUUAAGCUCUUGAAACUCAAAGAAUUUGGCGGUAUUUUAUUCUAAAUAGAGGAAUCUGUUGCGUAAACGAUAUCACACGAUAAGUGUACUUAAAUUAAAGGUAUGUAUACCGCCGUUAUCAGAGGAUCUUAAUAGAGUUAUUCUCAUUAAUUUAAACUAAGAAGUAUUUCAGGUCAAGGUGCAGCUUAUAUUUAAGUGAUUAAUGGAUUACAAUUUAUUUAUAAAGAAUGGAUAUUGGAGUGGAACCCUAAUUGAAGGUGGAUUUAUAAGUAAAUAAAUUAUUAUAAGGAAAUUUAUUGAAAAUAGCACUAGGAUAUGUACACAUCGCCCGUCACUCUCGUUGUUUAAAAUGAGAUAAGUCGUAACAAAGUAGAGGUACUGGAAAGUGUCUCUAGAAGGU